ACUGCAUUUUACCCCUAUGUUCUAUUUUAAGCCGUGGCAGCCAUCUUGGUUGAAUGGCCAGGUCAUCGGACAAAUUUUUCAAACUAGAUACCCCAAAGAUGAUUGUGGCCUAGUAGUUUCAGUGGAGAUUUUGUAAAAGAUUACUUAGAUUUAUGAAAAAUGGUUAAAAAUUGACUAUAAAGGGCAAUAACUCCUAAACGGGUCAACUGACCAUUUCGGUCAUGUUGACUUAUUUGUAAAUCUAACUUUGCUGAACAUUAUUGAUGUUUACAGUUUAUCUCUAUCUAUAAUAAUAUUCAAGAUAAUAACCAAAAACAGCAAAAUUUCCUCAAAAUUACCAAUUCAGGGGCAGCAACCCAACAACCGAUUGACUGAUUCAUCUGAAAAUUUCAGGGCAGGUAGAUCUUGACCUGAUAAACAUUUU
Molecule: long non-coding RNA, 424 nt
Filed under: Mytilus galloprovincialis (Mediterranean mussel)
Lineage: Eukaryota; Metazoa; Mollusca; Bivalvia; Mytilida; Mytilidae
Source: RNAcentral